AUAGCAAACAGUUUUUAAUGAACCGACCAUCUAGUCUAGUUCCAAAUUCCUUAUAGGUAAGUUUUUCCAAGUCUAUUGCUUAUCCCUUUUAUUUGUUUUACAAUUUUCCCCACAUGAUACAAACGAGAUCCUAAUCCAUUGUUGUGAAACUGUCACCCGACCAUCUAGUCUAGUUCCAAAUUCGUUAUAGGUAAUAUUUUCCAAGACCAUUGCUUAUCUUUUUUACUUGUUUUACAUUUUCCCCCACAUAAUACAAACGAGAUCCGAAUCACUUGUUGUUAAACUGUCACCCGACCUUCUAG
Molecule: long non-coding RNA, 302 nt
Filed under: Mytilus galloprovincialis (Mediterranean mussel)
Lineage: Eukaryota; Metazoa; Mollusca; Bivalvia; Mytilida; Mytilidae
Source: RNAcentral